RNAcentral lists this ribosomal RNA (484 nucleotides) under uncultured bacterium. RNAcentral's name for it is "bacterial SSU rRNA". It matches the Rfam family "Bacterial small subunit ribosomal RNA", at positions 31 to 507 of the family's 1533-position model. The record is from RNAcentral.
AUAGAACGCUGGGCGGCGUGCCUAACACAUGCAAGUCGAACGGAGUUGUCACCAUGAAGUUUUCGGAUGGAAUGGAGGCAACUUAGUGGCGGACGGGUGAGUAACGCGUGGGUAACCUGCCUCAUACGUGGGGGAUAACAGCUGGAAACGGCUGCUAAAACCGCAUAAGAUCGCAUCACCGCAUGGUGAAGCGGUUAAAUAUCGAAAGAUAGGUAUGAGAUGGGCCCGCGUCUGAUUAGCUAGUUGGUGAGAUAAGAGCCCACCAAGGCGACGAUCAGUAGCCGGCUUGAGAGAGUGACCGGCCACAUUGGGACUGAGACACGGCCCAAACUCCUACGGGAGGCAGCAGUGGGGAAUAUUGCACAAUGGGGGAAACCCUGAUGCAGCGACGCCGCGUGAGUGAAGAAGUGCUUCGGCAUGUAAAGCUCUAUCAGCAGGGAAGAAGAUGACGGUACCUGACUAAGAAGCCCCGGCUAACUACGUG